GGCGGAUUAGCCAAUUAUGAUGGC
This 24-nucleotide transfer RNA is filed under the name Serjania trachygona. RNAcentral describes it as "partial tRNA-His". Lineage: Eukaryota; Viridiplantae; Streptophyta; Magnoliopsida; Sapindales; Sapindaceae. The record is from RNAcentral.